This 184-nucleotide ribosomal RNA is filed under the name uncultured bacterium. Its description in RNAcentral is "partial 16S ribosomal RNA". It matches the Rfam family "Bacterial small subunit ribosomal RNA", at positions 1309 to 1500 of the family's 1533-position model. The record is from RNAcentral.
AACCCGACUCCGUGAAGCUGGAUUCGCUAGUAAUCGCGCAUCAGCCAUGGCGCGGUGAAUACGUUCCCGGGCCUUGUACACACCGCCCGUCAAGCCAUGGGAGCCGGGGGUGCUUGAGGUGCGUCGCCGCAAGGCGCGCCCUAGAGCAAAACCGGUGACUGGGGCUAAGUCGUAACAAGGUACC